This 491-nucleotide ribosomal RNA is filed under the name uncultured bacterium. RNAcentral describes it as "partial 16S ribosomal RNA". It matches the Rfam family "Bacterial small subunit ribosomal RNA", at positions 29 to 507 of the family's 1533-position model. The record is from RNAcentral.
GUGAACGCUGGCGGUAGGCCUAACACCUGCAAGUCGAACGGCAGCACAGUAAGAGCUUGCUCUUACGGGUGGCGAGUGGCGGACGGGCGAGGAAUACAUCGGAAUCUACUUUUUCGUGGGGGAUAACGUAGGGAAACUUACGCUAAUACCGCAUACGACCUACGGGUGAAAGCAGGGGAUCUUCGGACCUUGCGCGAUUGAAUGAGCCGAUGUCGGAUUAGCUAGUUGGCGGGGUAAAGGCCCACCAAGGCGACGAUCCGUAGCUGGUCUGAGAGGAUGAUCAGCCACACUGGAACUGAGACACGGUCCAGACUCCUACGGGAGGCAGCAGUGGGGAAUAUUGGACAAUGGGCGCAAGCCUGAUCCAGCCAUACCGCGUGGGUGAAGAAGGCCUUCGGGUUGUAAAGCCCUUUUGUUGGGAAAGAAAAGCAGCAGGUUAAUACCCCGCUGUUCUGACGGUACCCAAAGAAUAAGCACCGGCUAACUUCGUG